Molecule: ribosomal RNA, 274 nt
Filed under: uncultured prokaryote
Description: partial 16S ribosomal RNA
Rfam family: Bacterial small subunit ribosomal RNA
Source: RNAcentral
UACGAAGGGGGCUAGCGUUGCUCGGAAUCACUGGGCGUAAAGCGCACGUAGGUGGGUCGUUAAGUCGGGGGUGAAAUCCCAGAGCUCAACUCUGGAACUGCCUUCGAUACUGGCGACCUUCGAGUUCGGGAGAGGUGAGUGGAACUGCGAGUGUAGAGGUGAAAUUCGUAGAUAUUCGCAAGAACACCAGUGGCGAAGGCGGCUCACUGGCCCGAUACUGACACUGAGGUGCGAAAGCGUGGGGAGCAAACAGGAUUAGAAACCCGAGUAGUCC